RNAcentral lists this ribosomal RNA (1302 nucleotides) under uncultured bacterium. RNAcentral describes it as "bacterial SSU rRNA". It matches the Rfam family "Bacterial small subunit ribosomal RNA", at positions 71 to 1381 of the family's 1533-position model. The record is from RNAcentral.
AUUGUUUCUUCGGCAAUGAGAGAGCGGCGUACGGGUGCGGAACACGUGUGCAACCUGCCUUUAUCUGGGGGAUAGCCUUUCGAAAGGAAGAUUAAUACUCCAUAACAUAUUGAUUGGCAUCAAUUAAUAUUGAAAGCUCCGGCGGAUAGAGAUGGGCACGCGCAAGAUUAGCUAGUUGGUGAGGUAACGGCUCACCAAGGCGAUGAUCUUUAGGGGGCCUGAGAGGGUGAUCCCCCACACUGGUACUGAGACACGGACCAGACUCCUACGGGAGGCAGCAGUGAGGAAUAUUGGUCAAUGGGUGCAAGCCUGAACCAGCCAUCCCGCGUGAAGGACGACUGCCCUAUGGGUUGUAAACUUCUUUUGUAUAGGGAUAAACCUACCCUCGUGAGGGUAGCUGAAGGUACUAUACGAAUAAGCACCGGCUAACUCCGUGCCAGCAGCCGCGGUAAUACGGAGGGUGCAAGCGUUAUCCGGAUUUAUUGGGUUUAAAGGGUCCGUAGGCGGACUUAUAAGUCAGUGGUGAAAGCCUGUCGCUUAACGAUAGAACUGCCAUUGAUACUGUAAGUCUUGAGUAUAUUUGAGGUAGCUGGAAUAAGUAGUGUAGCGGUGAAAUGCAUAGAUAUUACUUAGAACACCAAUUGCGAAGGCAGGUUACCAAGAUAUAACUGACGCUGAGGGACGAAAGCGUGGGGAGCGAACAGGAUUAGAUACCCUGGUAGUCCACGCCGUAAACGAUGCUAACUCGUUUUUGGGCUUUAGGGUUCAGAGACCAAGCGAAAGUGAUAAGUUAGCCACCUGGGGAGUACGCUCGCAAGAGUGAAACUCAAAGGGAUUGACGGGGGCCCGCACAAGCGGUGGAUUAUGUGGUUUAAUUCGAUGAUACGCGAGGAACCUUACCAAGACUUAAAUGGGAAUUGACAGCUUUAGAAAUAGAGCUUUCUUCGGACAAUUUUCAAGGUGCUGCAUGGUUGUCGUCAGCUCGUGCCGUGAGGUGUUAGGUUAAGUCCUGCAACGAGCGCAACCCCUGUCACUAGUUGCCAUCAUUCAGUUGGGGACUCUAGUGAGACUGCCUACGCAAGUAGAGAGGAAGGUGGGGAUGACGUCAAAUCAUCACGGCCCUUACGUCUUGGGCCACACACGUAAUACAAUGGCCGGUACAGAGGGCAGCUACACAGCGAUGUGAUGCAAAUCUCGAAAGCCGGUCUCAGUUCGGAUUGGAGUCUGCAACUCGACUCUAUGAAGCUGGAAUCGCUAGUAAUCGCGCAUCAGCCAUGGCGCGGUGAAUACGUUCCCGGGCCU